CUAGAAAAUUCCAAUUUAGCAACGACCAUUAGCGACAGAUAAUAGAUCCGUCUCUACUAUGUAUGUUUAGCAACAUAAUUAGCGAUGGAACAAAUAAUCGUAGCUUUAAAUGUAAACCAUCGGCGAUAGUGACGUCAAUUAGCGAUAGAUGAAAACUCCGUGACUAAUUUAAACAUUCAGCUACAGAUUUUGCAACGGACAAGAGAUCUGUUGCUAAUAGAAAUAUUUAGCGUUCCAACCCCAUUGAUAAUUAUUAUGAUUUAUUUAAGUAAUGAAUUUUAUUAUUUUUUGGUUUUCAAUUUACAAUUUGCUGAAAUUGGUUUUUUUCCCCACUUUCUCACUUUCCUUACUUCCCUUCACCCCCUCCCCUGCGCCAUCGUUCCUUUCAUCGAAACUUGACCACCCAUCCUCCUGCCUUCAUUCUCUGUCUAUUGUCGUCUCCGGCCAUUGGGAAAAGUAAAAAAUGCAAAGGUCCCAAAAAUUCCCCAUCUUUGCUAGUUUUUCAAUCCCCCACUAGUCACCGUUGCGGCGACGCCACUCAUGUCGUCUUCAACUAGAUCUGCCCGUUCACAUAAGAAAUUGGCACUACAACGGAAUCAGGUAAAAUCGUUGUUAUUUCAUUAUUUAUGAAUUGGUCUGUGUGUGUUGUUUAAUAUUUUAUUUGAUAAAAACCCUAAUAUUGGAAUGGGUAUUUUGGUGUUGUUAACAGUCCCGCAUUUUCAUUCACAUUAUGAUAAAAUAUUAUAUUUUAUUGUUAUUUUUAUGUUUUAGGAUUGUUUAUGUCCUAUUGGUGAUAAUGAUUUUGAAGUUUUGGAGAAUGAAUAUUCAUAUCGAGACAAUAAAGUAUGAGACUUGGCUUUCAAUUUUAGUUUUGGAUUGCAUUUCAGAUUAAAUAAUAUGUCCUAAUUUCAGUUUUGGGUUGGUUUGGAGAAUGAAUAUUAUGUUCUACUUCUAGUUUUGGAUAGAGAGUGACUAUGUUCAAGGUAAGGACUAUGUUCUUGUUAAUUUGUUCAUUCCUAUACUGCAAAUAUGCCGCAAAAUAUUGUGACCUUAAACCCGUAGCAUGUUAUAAUUCACCCUUAUAUUUCAUAUUUCAGUCUACAACUUUAUUUUAUCAUGUGUUUCAGCAGUAGCAAACACAUUUGUUAGUUGGUUGCAUAUAUUAUUUUUUCACUACUGACCGAAUUACCUACUUUUAGAAUUCAAGAGCUCAGGUAACUUACAUAUGCCAAAUGUAUGGGACACUUAGAAGAUGCAAGUCUUUGUGGCUGAAGUAGAAAGCUACUCGGGUAAAUUAUUUCUAACAUAUAUCUAGUCAUAAUAUUAAUUAUAUGCUCAUCUCAAAUAAAAUCGAUAAAACUGUAUUGAAUACUAUAAUUUUUAUAUGUAUUAUAUCAGUUUAUUCUUGGUACAUAGAAAUUAGUAAUCACUAGUUCAUUUUUCGUAAUGAUGUCUUUAGUAUUCUGCAAAAUUAUUGAAGAAGGUGGAUGACCAAUAUAGAGAACUGAUGCAGGUUCACAUUUCUGAAUGGAUGAAUACAAUAGUAUAAGAGAUGUAAAGAGGUGCAUUAAAAUAAUUAUUUCAAUUGUAUAACAAUAUCAGAUUUGUAAAAUAUCAGGCAUUUACAUCUUUAAUUUAUCAUGUGGUAUUUUUUCUUGAUUAAUUAUUAUCUUUGCUUUCUCACUAUUUUUGAGAAAAAAUGCCUAGGCAGUGGCAAUAGCAUGCAUCCUUUGCAGUUGUUUAUGUAAAUUGUUAUUGUUGAUUGUUAAUGUAAUUUUACUUAACAUUCUAUGUGUUGUGUACAAGACUUGGAUUGCUUGUCUGAUGUUGUCUUAUGCUGCUGAUGAUCGACGAAAUGGUUGGACUAUCAUAUUUUGAUGGAUCAACUAAAUUGCAACUUCCAUCCUGGCUAUAAAUAAGACACAAGUUGAUGGUGAGGAAACGAAGAUGCAAGAAUUGUAGAGGAAAAGAAAGGUGGUGUUAAUGGCCAUAGAGACUACAUUGUUCUUAUAGGUUAAAAUUCAAAUUCCUAUUUUGACAGCUUGAUUCUUUUCGAUCUAGAAUCUUCAAUGAAAAUUCAAGAUAUUGUUUGUUGAAUUUGUGUAUGUGCAAAUAUUUAUAUUAGUUUUAUUGGUGUUUAUAUAAAUGAAAUUAAUGUAUUUAAAUAUAUAUUUUUUUUGUUAAAUUAAUAGAUUUUUGUAACGGAUUUAGUGAAGGAUGUAUCCCUCUCCAAUUAAGAUUUUAGCUUUAAUUAGUGACGGAUGAAUAAAUUUAGCGACGAAAUAUCUCGUGUUUUUUGGUCA
Erythranthe guttata (spotted monkey flower) is the source of this 2303-nucleotide non-coding RNA. Lineage: Eukaryota; Viridiplantae; Streptophyta; Magnoliopsida; Lamiales; Phrymaceae. The record is from RefSeq and is a predicted model, not a curated record.